GAUGAACGCUGGCGGCGUGCCUAAUACAUGCAAGUCGAGCGAACAGACGAGGAUCUUGCUCCUCUGACGUUAGCGGCGGACGGGUGAGUAACACGUGGAUAACCUACCUAUAAGACUGGGAUAACUUCGAGAAACCGGAGCUAAUACCGGAUAAUAUAUUGAACCGCAUGGUUCAAUAGUGAAAGACGGUUUUGCUGUCACUUAUAGAUGGAUCCGCGCCGCAUUAGCUAGUUGGUAAGGUAACGGCUUACCAAGGCAACGAUGCGUAGCCGACCUGAGAGCGUGAUCGGCCACAGUGGAACUGAGACACGGUCCAGACUCCUACGGGAGGCAGCAGUAGGGAAUCUUCCGCAAUGGGCGAAAGCUUGACGGAGCAACGCCGCGUGAGUGAUGAAGGUCUUCGGAUCGUAAAACUCUGUUAUUAGUGAAGAACAAAUGUGUAAGUAACUAUGCACGUCUUGACGGUACCUAAUCAGAAAGCCACGGCUAACUACGUG
RNAcentral lists this ribosomal RNA (497 nucleotides) under uncultured bacterium. Its description in RNAcentral is "partial 16S ribosomal RNA". It matches the Rfam family "Bacterial small subunit ribosomal RNA", at positions 28 to 507 of the family's 1533-position model. The record is from RNAcentral.